GCCUGGGUGGCUCAGUCGGUUGAGCGUCCGACUUCGGCUCAGGUCACGAUCUCACGGUCUGUGGGUUCGAGCCCCGUGUCAGGCU
This 85-nucleotide transfer RNA is filed under the name Felis catus (domestic cat). It matches the Rfam family "tRNA". Rfam says of the family: Transfer RNA (tRNA) molecules are approximately 80 nucleotides in length. Their secondary structure includes four short double-helical elements and three loops (D, anti-codon, and T loops). Further hydrogen bonds mediate the characteristic L-shaped molecular structure. tRNAs have two regions of fundamental functional importance: the anti-codon, which is responsible for specific mRNA codon recognition, and the 3' end, to which the tRNAs corresponding amino acid is attached (by aminoacyl-tRNA synthetases). tRNAs cope with the degeneracy of the genetic code in two manners: having more than one tRNA (with a specific anti-codon) for a particular amino acid; and 'wobble' base-pairing, i.e. permitting non-standard base-pairing at the 3rd anti-codon position. The record is from Rfam by way of RNAcentral. Lineage: Eukaryota; Metazoa; Chordata; Mammalia; Carnivora; Felidae.